This 273-nucleotide ribosomal RNA is filed under the name uncultured bacterium. Its description in RNAcentral is "partial 16S ribosomal RNA". It matches the Rfam family "Bacterial small subunit ribosomal RNA", at positions 524 to 796 of the family's 1533-position model. The record is from RNAcentral.
UACAGAGGUGGCAAGCGUUGUUCGGAAUUACUGGGCGUAAAGGGCGCGUAGGCGGUCUUGUAAGUCUCGUGUGAAAUCCCUCGGCUUAACUGAGGAACUGCACGGGAUACUGCAUGACUUGAGUUCGGGAGAGGGAAGCGGAAUUCCGGGUGUAGCGGUGAAAUGCGUAGAUAUCCGGAGGAACACCGGUGGCGAAGGCGGCUUCCUGGACCGACACUGACGCUGAGGCGCGAAAGCUAGGGGAGCAAACGGGAUUAGAAACCCCCGUAGUCC